CAAUAUAUGAGAGGGAACAUCCAUAUUUCCCCAAACCUUUUUCAUUAGAGUAUGCUCAUUUAUAUUUUUCUUGGUUGGUGUAACUAAGAAAGAUAUUGCUUAAUUUCGUAAAUAAUAUCCUCGCGAAACUAUAUCAUUGGUCAACCACCCCUGUAUUUGGUUAAAAAAUGCUAAAAGAUUUUUUUUAUUUGCUCAAUUUUUUGAUACAAAACACAUCGUGAUAUCAACAAUUGAGUUUCUCGAGACAUAUAGCAGUACUAAAACAAAAAUUGAUGAGUGUAAUAAUUAUUAACAAUAAUAAUAUGAAGAAGUCUAGUAUUUAAGAAAGUUCGCCUUAGUUUAUAGUCUUUUUGUUGCAUUUCCUCUCCCUAAAAUGUACUGCAAAAAAAAAACAUGGUAUCUUACAUUAGUGUUUUGAUUACCUUGACCUCAUCUCCCAAUUCCUCUAAUGACAUUGGACUCUUUCUCCUUCAACUUUCUCAUCAACCCUUAGCAAGAUACUCACAUCUCCUAGCUCCACCUACGUCAACACACACCUCACUAGAACUUGGUUGACCUCUCAUUGUUGUUUUUUACUCUGUUGUGCACCCUCUUCUCACAAGCGACUCAUUUUUCCGUUCUUGUUAAUCCACCUAUGUAGGCCUUUCGGUGAGGGAGCUACCACUUAGGGGCUUUAUUUGUUUGUAUGUAGAUUGGCCUUCCAAAAUUAUAUCAUCUUUUAACACUGUU
RNAcentral lists this long non-coding RNA (729 nucleotides) under Cicer arietinum (chickpea). RNAcentral's name for it is "long non-coding RNA (CARI_LNC002175)". The record is from RNAcentral. Lineage: Eukaryota; Viridiplantae; Streptophyta; Magnoliopsida; Fabales; Fabaceae.